AUGUCUUUUUGAUAAUAAUUUAAAGUUUGAUCUGCUCGAUGAUUAUUUAAAUUGCCGCAGUAUUUUGACUGUGCUAAGGUAGCAUAAUCAUUAGUUUUUUAAUUGAAAACUGGAAUGAAUGAUUGGACAAGAAAAUUUCUGUCUUAUUUUAAUGUUAUUUUUAAUUUUAUUUUUAAGUGAAAAAGCUUAAAUUAUUUUAAAAGACGAGAAGACCCUGUAGAAUUUUAUAUUUAUUUAUUGAUUUUUUAUAGUAAUAUUAUUUAAUAUUAAAUAUUUGGUUGGGGUGACUUGAAGAUUAAAUUAAUUCUUUAAAUAUUAUGUUAAUGAUUAUUAAUUUUAAAUUUUAAAUUUUUUAUGAUUAAAAUAAAUUACCUUAGGGAUAACAGCGUAAUUUUUCUUUAGAGUUCUUAUUGAAAGAAAAGUUUGCGACCUCGAUGUUGGAUUAAAAUUAAUUUAAGGCGUAGGAGCUUUAAAGAUUAGGUCUGUUCGACCUUUAAAAUUUUACAUGAUCUGAGUU
RNAcentral lists this ribosomal RNA (517 nucleotides) under Platerodrilini gen. sp. UPOL VP0030. Its description in RNAcentral is "partial large subunit ribosomal RNA". The stretch from base 379 to 517 matches the Rfam family "Bacterial large subunit ribosomal RNA", at positions 2473 to 2611 of the family's 2925-position model. Lineage: Eukaryota; Metazoa; Arthropoda; Insecta; Coleoptera; Lycidae. The record is from RNAcentral.